GCUCCCUUCCGCGCGCGCGGUAGCGAGCUUCGCUCGGGGUGGUGUCCGCGCGGUACCGCCCCCUCCGGUUCGCCUCACCUGCCGCGGCGAAGGUGAGACCGCAACGCCUGGGAAAGGUGGUCCCGUGAACAGAUAUAUGGCUAUGGAAGCUUGAGUUCUGGCUUGGUGGACUGUAAUGUGUAGAAGGUGCUGACAGUCACAUAGUAGGACUGCUGCUUUGCUACAGUUUAGGAGAGAUACAGAGAUCAACAAAAAACUUGAAUAGCAUGGAGAGGAUUGAAGAUGGAUCAAUUCUUGGCUACCUCUCUGCAUCGAAUGAAACAGGAAUGAAGAUAAGUUUGAAGGAUAUUUACACUGGUCUAGAAUCCAAAGUCGUGGGAUACUGCGUUGUGCUGAUGGAGCGUAUUUGAGGUGUUAAGGGCUGCAGUUCCUCCAGAGAAAACAGCACAGAACUGAAUGCUAUUGUAUGCUUACAUACAGUAAGGUGAGAACAGUCGAGGUUUGGAGAUCUGGACUGCCAUCAGCAACAAUUAAAUUCUGUCAAGUUCUGCUGCCAGCUAACUUGAGUUAAUCAAAGAAAACUCCUUUGUACAUAUGUUGAUCUGAGUGUAUAAGUUAUCCUUUGACAGCUGCUUCAUCUGAAAAAUGGGAACUGAAAUCCACUGCUUCUGUAGUUAGCAAUUCUGGAUUUGCAUUGACUGAUUCACCAAUCCCUAUGGGAAAAAUAUAGCUAAAAUCUGGAUCAGAAACCUUGUAUGGAGCAGGAGAUGCUCAUAGCAACCAGGAUGAAAGGAGGCAAAAGGCCAUGUGGCAGGAUAUAUGCUGACAAACCUGAGAUGUCUUACAGAAGACAAUUGGAAACAACAGGAGCAUCUUGUCUCCCUCCAGCAGAACAGUGAGCCAGAAUGAAAUGUCUGCUUCCUGGACAGACCUCAGAGCACAAGUGCAUUUGAUCUUCUGUCAACUAAGAAAGGGAAAUUAGGAUGUGACACAAGCUGUCCUGUGCAUUCUUUGCUUGCAGAGUCCCCACUCUCUGCCAUGUAUGGAUCCCAAGUCUCUGAAGGCUACUGUGAUUGAAUCAUCAGGUCCAUGACUGUUCAGAACCACUUGGCUCAUUGAUCCUGAUUUCUGUAACUGAGAAAAGAUGCUUCAUAGAAGGUAUCGUUAACCUUCACUUCCCAUAUACGGGUAUGGGUGGAAACACAACCAUAAUGAAGAAAAGGACUUCCAGAAGGUCACACAGAAGCAGACCAGAAGCAGAAAUAGCACUUUGUUUUGCAGACUCUCCCAUGAUGUUUCCCAAACUGCACUGCUGCUUUUGAGUUUGUGGCUCCCAUUGCAGUUGAAACCAAGAACCCUACCAACAUUCAACUAAUUGAUAAAACCUCAGAAGGCCCAUAAUCACCAAAGCACUACAAGACUUGUUUAAAUUUAUUUGUUUGGCAAACAUGUUGGAAUGGAUUAAUUAAAAGAGAUUGGUCUCUGUUAGAAAAGCUGCUGUACCUAGCAGGAUUUUCAGAACACCUGGGAUAUUUUCACCUGGGAUAUUUUUACUGCCCACUGAUUUCAGUGGCAAGUAAGCACCUGUGCACUGUUGAAAAUGUCACUAAUCUACAGAUUUAGGUGCCUAGACACUUCUGGAAGUUAAGCACUUAAUACUGUACCACUUGCUGCAUAUUUUACCUCAUUGCAAAAGAUCUAACCCAGCCACUCAAAAUAUUCUUGUGUGCUCUGAGGCUGGAAUUUUAAACUAGUGCUUGUUUUAGUAUGGCUAUUUACCUCAGAUCUAUUCUGCAUCUAUAUUAUGUAUAGAUGGGCUAAUUUACUGCUACCCUUGAAGGUACAUUGCUCAAUUUGUGCAUCCUUCCUGCAGAUAUUAAAAGAAAUGGAUUUGUGAUCCAUAUGGAAAUAAUUUCAUGAAAUGUAGUUAUAAUAGGCUUUUAAGUUCUUCAAAAUGAGUUGAUCUUCUCAACCCACGCAUUUCCUCUCAAUGUCAUGUACGUAUUUGUGCCAGUGCUAAAAAUGAUAAAUGCCUUUGCAGCAUAACAUGCAGUGAAAUCCGUAACGUAAUGGAUUUCUGUGAUGGGAUAGGAAAGAAAUGCCACUUCUUCCAGUUGUUUGCAAUAUAUGGUCUUAAAAAGUGUUUGAUUUUUCUGAGAAAAUGCACUAGACUCCUUGUUCAUGUGUAUGUAAUACUCCACUGUUAUGCAAUUAUUUUUUCUCCACUCAUCAGAGCUUUAGUUUAUUGAGGAGGAAAAAAGUUACACAAUGUGUCUUUUGUGAUUGCAAAAAAUGGUGGUGUCCUCACUAGUUUGCUCUUUUAUUCUGCCUCAAGUACAUUGUAUUCUGUAAGAGGCAGCCUGCACUAUGUGACUGAGAUAAAGCAGGAAUAGCAGAUAAGUUGUUAGUAAUGUUAAAUGCCAAACUUCUAUCAGCUGUGCAGAGUUUUCUUAAAAUUUUUAGUGUUGUUGUUAUAUAUGAUGGUUGUGGGUCUUGUUUAUUUUUCCUUGAAGCAGCUAUCUUUUGAUAUCAUAGGAAUAUAUAGCAAGCUUAUAUGGUAUUUAAGAAGCAAAAGUAAACUUCCAGCUAUUGCAGUUGCAGAAGAAAACUUGCUGUUCUGACUUCCGUGAGUUGUUAAAUACUCAAAAAUCCAAAAGCAAAUAAGAAAAUUUAAAGCAAAAACCAUUUUUGAUCUAAUUCCAUGACUUUUGGACAUCUAAUCCACUGUAAAAUUGUAUGUUUAUAAUGCUAGUGGUUGGCAACUGACUGAAGUAUCUGGAUUUACCUAUUGAGAGAAAUUUUUAUGUUACUGCGUGCUGUUUUACUUCCCAAAGGAUGUAAAGGAUGCUUUGACUGGAAAGGCUGUGUUAGCCACAGUUUCCAGAAAGGAGAGGAUGGAUUGGCUGGUUGGUUUGCUUGAUUACUUUAGCUUCUAUAGUCAAAGGAAAAUAAACAGGUUUUCAGUAUUUUAUUUAACUCUCUGGAAUAUUUGAGAAGUUUAAGCUUCAGCUUGGUAAACUUAGUAUAAAAUCUUAAGUUAGAGCAGAUCAUUCAGAGAUUCAUGAAUUUAUCCAUAAAAACUAUGCUACAGGAGUAGAGGCUUUUGACAAUCCUUGUUUAUUUUUUCACUAACUGUACUAUCAGUAUAUGGACUUGUCUAUCUUUUCCUAUUUCUGUACCACUUAAAUACACUGCUUGAGAAGUAAGGCUCCUUAAGGUUUUGUGCUGCAGAAACACAGGAAAAUAAAGAUAUCUCCUUUUCCAAACAGCUUCCAGUAGUGUAAUCUACCUGAAAUCAUUCAUCUAUCACUGUGCAUGGCAUAAUGCAGAAACAGAAAAUCUUGCCCAGGAAAGGAUGGCAUAUUUUCAAUAGAAUUGUGUGGAAAUUAACACAAAUUUAACUGUGUUUUUUAUUAAAAAAAUGGGUGGGGGAGUUUUUUCAUAUGUAGCAAUAUUGUGA
Molecule: long non-coding RNA, 3460 nt
Organism: Rhea pennata
Lineage: Eukaryota; Metazoa; Chordata; Aves; Rheiformes; Rheidae
Exons: 11
Source: RefSeq, a predicted model, not a curated record